GCAAGUCGAACGAGAUCUUCGGAUCUAGUGGCGGACGGGUUAGUAACGCGUGGGAACGUGCCUUUCACUACGGGAUAGUCUUGGGAAACUGGGUUUAAUACCGUAUACGCCCUUCGGGGGAAAGAUUUAUCGGUGAAGGAUUGGCCCGCGUUAGAUUAGGUAGUUGGUGGGGUAAUGGCCUACCAAGCCUACGAUCUAUAGCUGGUUUGAGAGGAUGAUC
RNAcentral lists this ribosomal RNA (220 nucleotides) under uncultured bacterium. RNAcentral's name for it is "partial 16S ribosomal RNA". It matches the Rfam family "Bacterial small subunit ribosomal RNA", at positions 57 to 305 of the family's 1533-position model. The record is from RNAcentral.